UUUCCGUAGGUGAACCUGCGGAAGGAUCAUUGUCGAAACCUGCAAAAGUAGACAGCGAACAUGUUAAACCACUUGGGAUCGAUGCACAGGGCAACCUGGUGUGGAGUCCCCUUCUCGUGUAUGUGCGUUUUACGGGCUAACGAACCCCGGCGCGGCAUGCGCCAAGGAAUACUCAUAGAUGCGUCCGCCUUCAACGCCCUGUACUCGGUGUGCGAUGUCGGACGUCUCUUAAAGUCUAAACGACUCUCGGCAACGGAUAUCUCGGCUCUCGCAUCGAUGAAGAACGUAGCGAAAUGCGAUACUUGGUGUGAAUUGCAGAAUCCCGUGAACCAUCGAGUCUUUGAACGCAAGUUGCGCCCGAAACCACUUGGUUGAGGGCACGUCUGCCUGGGCGUCACGCAUCGCGUCGCCCCUACUCUAUCCCCGGAUAUUGGCCCCCCGUGUACAGUAGUACGUGGUCGGCCUAAAUGAGAACAUGCGGCGACUCGCGUCACGAUCAGUGGUGGUUGAACACUCAACUUCGUGUUAUCGUGUCGAUAGUAGCAUGCCAGCUUCGUAACAAAACCCAAUGGCUUGACCACUCGAGCUUUCGACCGCGACCCCAGGUCAGGCGGGAUUACCCGCUGAGUUUA
This 632-nucleotide ribosomal RNA is filed under the name Neobartsia mutica. RNAcentral's name for it is "eukaryotic LSU rRNA". The stretch from base 242 to 397 matches the Rfam family "5.8S ribosomal RNA". The record is from RNAcentral. Lineage: Eukaryota; Viridiplantae; Streptophyta; Magnoliopsida; Lamiales; Orobanchaceae.